Molecule: ribosomal RNA, 253 nt
Filed under: uncultured bacterium
Lineage: Bacteria
Description: partial 16S ribosomal RNA
Rfam family: Bacterial small subunit ribosomal RNA
Source: RNAcentral
GACGUAGGGCGCGAGCGUUGUCCGGAUUUAUUGGGCGUAAAGAGCUCGUAGGCGGCUUGUCGCGUCGACUGUGAAAGCCCGCGGCUCAACCGCGGGUCUGCAGUCGAUACGGGCAGGCUAGAGUUCGGUAGGGGAGACUGGAAUUCCUGGUGUAGCGGUGAAAUGCGCAGAUAUCAGGAGGAACACCGAUGGCGAAGGCAGGUCUCUGGGCCGAUACUGACGCUGAGGAGCGAAAGCGUGGGGAGCGAACAGG